This 999-nucleotide long non-coding RNA is filed under the name Physcomitrium patens. Its description in RNAcentral is "long non-coding RNA (PPAT_LNC014520)". The record is from RNAcentral. Lineage: Eukaryota; Viridiplantae; Streptophyta; Bryopsida; Funariales; Funariaceae.
UUUGACGUCUGUGGGUUCCAGAUCCGAUUUGUGCAAAUCUGGCCUGCUUUGACAUGUGAGAAGGUUGAUACCGUCGAGAAAGUCCCACCAGGGGCGUGCAACAGAAUCCAAUCCAAUAGCGUAAAUCCUGACGAUUCGGAUGAAUAUUAACCGCAUCAACUUCAAGUGCACGUCUCAACUCAUUUCUGAAAGUUAUCUUUUGCGCCGCAAGACAAGAUGUCAACUAGGCAGCUGUACAAAUCUUGUCCAAUCUUAGCCUGGUAGAGAGCGGCUCAUCAUACUACUGAACUUGCUUCUCACGAACAUCAACAGCGUCCCACAGCGACUCCAUGUACUUGGCAUGAUCGUCUUGCUUUGAAGCGUAAACCGGCAUGCCUCUUGCUUCAACUGCAUGUUUCUCUGAUGAUUCUGACGCAUUUAAAGGCUCUUCGAUUCGAUCCUGAUCUAGAGCUACGAGGGCGACGACACAAUCACACAUCAUUGAUUUCAACUCGCUCCCAUUUCUCAGAGGCGAAUGUGGUCCUGUCUGAACACCGUUGACAUGCCUCCGAAAACUUUAUUCUUACUAUCCCAGCAUCAUACUCGUCAAUCCUCACUCCUAGACUGGCAUCUGCAUCAACAUUUAGAUCAGCAUAACAUUUCAGUUUGUGAUCAAACUGCGAUCAGCUUUCAUGAUGAACGGCAGCACAUAUUUGCUGCUGUGGAUGCUGUGAAUCUAAAUCAUCGAGUAACUUGUGACGUAAUUGGUCUGAUCAUUCUUUCCAUACACAAAUAUAGGCAGCUUCGACUCGAAAUAUGUAUACAUUCCUACUGUUCUUGCAUAGAUGCAAUCGAAACUGCAGGCAGAGGUUUCCUGUGCUAUUCAUAAUAAUGGAUAAAAUUAGCAAGUGGUCAAAGAUGGUCAAUACCAACUUGUGUGGUUCUAUGUUCCAACUCCAGAACGUGGAGGGCAAGUGAGAAAGUUUGAAUUUGAAUAGGUACCCAGCAAAUACUUGGUAC